AUCGUGGUGUGCCCAGCUCUUCCAAGGACUGCUGCGCUUCGGGGCCCAGGUGAGUCCCGCACCUAAUAUCUGCCCUCUGGGAACCCCACACCCGCUUGCUUCGGCCUCCAGCCAGGCUUCGCGAGGAGCCGCGCCCCGCGAGCCUGGGUGGGGCCACCCCUCCAGCUCGCACACUGCUUCGGAUGCCCCCAGACUCGCUGGGGCGGAGGCCAGUCUUGUCUGGAGCUACCCCAUCCUGGCGUUGGAGCCGCUGUUCUGUUCUCCUUUUCGGCAUGUGGUUCUUCAUUCUCAUCUUUUCUACUUUGCAACUAGUCUUAGAGUUAACUGGAGUUUAGCAGAACCUGCUUGCGCUCUGUCCUAGUUGGCAGUUCCAUGAAGCUUCAGGCUACAGGCAGAGCUCAGGCUGUUUGAGCCGCUUUGGCCAGGGAGGACUGGAGGCUUGGCAGCUGGAGGAUUCCCUUUCUGAAGGACCCUGCUCUGCUUGUUGCCUUAGCCUCAGUGCAAAUUCCAGGUUGCUUCGGAAGGAUCUUUAAAGUAGGACUUUCUGUCUCUCUACCAAGUGUUCCUCUAGCUACUCGGAUUAAAUAAAGGGAACCAGAGAGAGAUGGAACGAGAGAGCAGGCUUGGUGAAGAAUCUUCAGUCUGGGAUUAAUUUUCAUGUGGUGCAGUGAGAGGGACGUACCUGCUUCACGGCCUGAGCUUGGCAACAGGAAUGACUGACCUCUUUCCUAGCCCUGCCUGGGAGGACUCUGGAGAAAUUGCUGAGUGGGUGGCAAGCAAAACAGAAAUGUGACAGACCAGCAGAGCCCGGAUCCACAUUCUGAAAUCCACAGGACCCACCUCCCUCAUUUUCCUACCCCCACCCCCCACCCCAGGAAAGCCAGACACAUUCUGCAGGGUGGGGCUAGCACAAAGGGUUCCUGGAUUCUCCUAGUGAUCUGUGGCCUGUGACUCAGCUGUGAGACCUUGGGUGUGGCCUAGCUGGUUGCUGAUUCUCUGUGGAUGGUUUGAACAGAUCGCUCCCUGAAGGAAAAGAGGAACUGUGCCAUCUUCCAGGGCAUUUUCCAAGAGGAAAUGAGUCACAACUAACUGGCCACCAACCUGCAGGAGGGGUUUCUUGUCUGAGCUGCCUGGAAGGGCAGUAAUUAGACUGGCAGAACCAUUCCAAGUCUGUCUCUCUCCCCCCCGCCCCCCCCAUUCCCCAAGCUUCAGUUUCAGCUUCCAGGAGUGGAUUUUUGCAUGUUAUACUUCAAAUUAGGUAGAAACUCUCUGUCAGAGAGCUUGCCUUCGGUGUGUUUCAGCAAAUUGCAAACGAUAAUGCCCGACGUUGGAGCAGGAAGGAGGAGUUCAUAUAACUCCCUGAAAUUUCAUUUACCUUAGUCCUCCUCCCAUUGCCUAUGCACUGUCACUGACAGUCUAAGAGUAGUGUUGUUUGUUUGUUUGUUUGUUUGUUUGUUUGUUUUUGGUCUGCUUGGCAUAGAGCAGUUAUUUGGGUUCCCCUAAUUUCUGAGUGAUGCUGUUCCCUGGCUUUUCCUAAAUACAACAUCAAAUGGGCCGUUGUCCUCUUAUGCCUGGCCUCUGGCCAGCCUCUGAGCAGUCACCCCAAUGUGGUCAGGCCCUGGGCUGGGUGGGGCUGAGGCUGGAUACCUCCCUGCUUUCUACUGACAGGAGAGAGAGAGAGAGAGAGAGAGAGAGAGAGAGAGAGAGAGAGUGUGUCAUGGAGUCAUGUCUCCCCACCUCCCAGCAAAUACAUAAGUAUUUGAUAUGCCUUGGACACAUUCCAUUCAUUUAAGCCUAGCUAAGAGAACAAUAGGAUUCUUUCAGAAUUAUGAAAUAAAUUAAUGCUCACAGUGCUGGGGAAAGAUGGGCUCUCAGGAUUCACAACUUAGGAAUCACACCUCAAAAGCAAAGGGAGUAACAGGCUUGGCAGUGUGAGGGUCUAGCUCUUCAGGACCACCACCCCUGGAGGGAGGCAGGGAGGGACUGAUUGACUUUUAAAGACAACUUUCAACCCUUCAACUAAAUAAUUCUCACUUGUCCAUGUAGCUGAUGUUGUUGGUUGGGUUGCUGACUCAUGACAACCCCUCAUGGAAAAAUGGAUGCUCUUGGUUGAGCUAGAGUUCUUUCUUCCUAUUGAAUUGCAUCUGGAGCUUCCUUUAGCAGACCAUGUCUGUAGUAUGCAAGUUUUAGUUGGUGAGAAAGUCUGAGCUAAAAUCCAUUGUUUUCAUUUCAUUCCUACCCCAAAUAUACUGUAAGGGUCAGAUUCAAAAAUGUCCUCUGGAUUCAAU
Molecule: long non-coding RNA, 2288 nt
Filed under: Mus musculus (house mouse)
Lineage: Eukaryota; Metazoa; Chordata; Mammalia; Rodentia; Muridae
Description: long non-coding RNA chr3:93555162-93557450
Source: RNAcentral